GCAAGUCGAAGGAAAAGGUAGAAGCGUGCUUUUACUGGAGACUGGCGGACGGGUGAGUAACGCGUAGAUAACCUGCCUAUAGCUUGGGGAUAACACUGCGAAAGUGGUGCUAAUACCACAUCAUGCAGCGGGGCCGCAUGGCACUAGUUGUUAAAGGUUUCGACCGGCUAUAGAUGGGUCUGCGUGCUAUUAGUUAGUUGGUAGGGUAACGGCCUACCAAGGCGAUGAUAGCUAGGGGGUCUGAGAGGAUGAUC
RNAcentral lists this ribosomal RNA (254 nucleotides) under uncultured bacterium. RNAcentral's name for it is "partial 16S ribosomal RNA". It matches the Rfam family "Bacterial small subunit ribosomal RNA", at positions 57 to 305 of the family's 1533-position model. The record is from RNAcentral.